This 62-nucleotide transfer RNA is filed under the name Microtermes sp. A TB-2017. RNAcentral describes it as "tRNA-Asp". The record is from RNAcentral. Lineage: Eukaryota; Metazoa; Arthropoda; Insecta; Blattodea; Termitidae.
GAAGGAUUAGUUAAUUUAUAACAUCAGAAUGUCAAACUGAAAUAAUCAAAAGGUAUCCUUCU